This 341-nucleotide unclassified non-coding RNA is filed under the name soil metagenome. Its description in RNAcentral is "partial contains 5.8S ribosomal RNA, internal transcribed spacer 2, and large subunit ribosomal RNA". The stretch from base 1 to 120 matches the Rfam family "5.8S ribosomal RNA", at positions 35 to 154 of the family's 154-position model. The record is from RNAcentral.
GAUGAAGAACGUAGCGAAAUGCGAUAAGUAGUGUGAAUUGCAGAAUUCAGUGAAUCAUCGAAUCUUUGAACGCACAUUGCGCCCUUUGGUAUUCCAAAGGGCAUGCCUGUUCGAGCGUCAUUUGUACCCUCAAGCUUUGCUUGGUGUUGGGCGUCUUGUCUCUAGCUUUGCUGGAGACUCACCUUAAAGUAAUUGGCAGCCGGCCUACUGGUUUCGGAGCGCAGCACAAGUCGCACUCUCUAUCAGCAAAGGUCUAGCAUCCAUUAAGCCUUUUUUUCAACUUUUGACCUCGGAUCAGGUAGGGAUACCCGCUGAACUUAAGCAUAUCAAUAAGCGGAGGA